Molecule: ribosomal RNA, 506 nt
Filed under: uncultured soil bacterium
Lineage: Bacteria
Description: bacterial SSU rRNA
Rfam family: Bacterial small subunit ribosomal RNA
Source: RNAcentral
AGAUUGAACGCUGGCGGCAGGCCUAACACAUGCAAGUCGAGCGGUAGAGAGGUGCUUGCAUCUCUUGAGAGCGGCGGACGGGUGAGUAAUGCCUAGGAAUCUGCCUAGUGGUGGGGGAUAACGUUCGGAAACGGACGCUAAUACCGCAUACGUCCUACGGGAGAAAGCGGGGGACCUUCGGGCCUCGCGCCAUUAGAUGAGCCUAGGUCGGAUUAGCUAGUUGGUGAGGUAAUGGCUCACCAAGGCGACGAUCCGUAACUGGUCUGAGAGGAUGAUCAGUCACACUGGAACUGAGACAGGUCCAGACUCCUACGGGAGGCAGCAGUGGGGGAAUAUUGGACAAUGGGCGAAAGCCUGAUCAGCCAUGCCGCGUGUGUGAAGAAGGUCUUCGGAUUGUAAAAGCAACUUUAAGUUUGGAGGAAGGGUUUGUAAACCUUAAUACGUUGCAACUUUGAACGUUACCGACAAGAAUAAGCACCGGCUAACUUCGUGCCAGCAAGCCCGUA